Molecule: ribosomal RNA, 253 nt
Filed under: uncultured bacterium
Lineage: Bacteria
Description: partial 16S ribosomal RNA
Rfam family: Bacterial small subunit ribosomal RNA
Source: RNAcentral
UACAGAGGUCUCGAGCGUUAUGCGGAAUCACUGGGCUUAAAGCGUGUGUAGGUGGAUUGGUAAGUACCUUGUGAAAUCCCACGGCUUAACCGUGGAACUGCUUGGUAUACUGCCAGUCUUGAGCCAGCUAGGGGCUACCGGAACAAAUGGUGGAGCGGUGAAAUGCGUAGAUAUCAUUUGGAACGCCAAUGGUGAAAACAGGUAGCUGGGGCUGUGCUGACACUGAGACACGAAAGCCAGGGGAGCAAACGGG